Non-coding RNA from Anoplopoma fimbria (sablefish), 360 nucleotides. RefSeq annotates it as small Cajal body-specific RNA 2. The transcript has a single exon. Lineage: Eukaryota; Metazoa; Chordata; Actinopteri; Perciformes; Anoplopomatidae. The record is from RefSeq and is a predicted model, not a curated record.
GUGCUUCACAGUUUGAAUGGGUUGUGAAUGGCGUGCUUGUGUGAGCGUUUGUUUGAGUGAAUGUGUGGUGUUUGUGUGAGAAUGUGUGGUGUUUGUGUGAGAAUGUGUCUUUCUGUAAAAAUCUACACAGUGAUCUUAUUUGAUCUGGUCUGAGUUGGGCUCUGCUCCGACCGGAGAUGAUAGGAAAAGCGCCUGCGAGCCUCUAUGGCGAUGAGCAGAGCGAGACGUUAAGCACAGGGCCUCCACGCUUCACGGUGUGGUCGGAGAUGAUGAAUUGAUCAGAUAUACUAGUUCUGUGUGUUUGGGUUUCACCCAAAACUUCACAAUGGACAAUGAGUAAAAUAAGCGAUUCUGAUCCAA